CCUACGGGGGGCAGCAGUGGGGAAUAUUGGACAAUGGGCGAAAGCCUGAUCCAGCCAUGCCGCGUGUGUGAAGAAGGCCUUCGGGUUGUAAAGCACUUUCAGUGGGGAAGAAAGCCUUGGGGCUAAUACCCUCGAGGAAGGACAUCACCCACAGAAGAAGCACCGGCUAACUCCGUGCCAGCAGCCGCGGUAAUACGGAGGGUGCGAGCGUUAAUCGGAAUUACUGGGCGUAAAGCGCGCGUAGGCGGUCUGAUAAGCCGGUUGUGAAAGCCCCGGGCUCAACCUGGGAACGGCAUCCGGAACUGUCAGGCUAGAGUGCAGGAGAGGAAGGUAGAAUUCCCGGUGUAGCAGUGAAAUGCAUAGAGAUCGGGAGGAAUACCAGUGGCGAAGGCGGCCUUCUGGACUGACACUGACGCUGAGGUGCGAAAGCGUGGGUAGCAAACAGGAUUAGAUACCCUAGUAGUC
Molecule: ribosomal RNA, 465 nt
Filed under: Vreelandella stevensii
Lineage: Bacteria; Pseudomonadati; Pseudomonadota; Gammaproteobacteria; Oceanospirillales; Halomonadaceae
Description: partial 16S ribosomal RNA
Rfam family: Bacterial small subunit ribosomal RNA
Source: RNAcentral